ACGAACGCUGGCGGCGUGCCUAAUACAUGCAAGUCGAGCGAGCGGAACUAACAGAUUUACUUCGGUAAUGACGUUAGGAAAGCGAGCGGCGGAUGGGUGAGUAACACGUGGGGAACCUGCCCCAUAGUCUGGGAUACCACUUGGAAACAGGUGCUAAUACCGGAUAAGAAAGCAGAUCGCAUGAUCAGCUUUUAAAGGGCGGCGUAAGCUGUCGCUAUGGGAUGGCCCCGCGGUGCAUUAGCUAGUUGGUAAGGUAAAGGCUUACCAAGGCGAUGAUGCAUAGCCGAGUUGAGAGACUGAUCGGCCACAUUGGGACUGAGACACGGCCCAAACUCCUACGGGAGGCAGCAGUAGGGAAUCUUCCACAAUGGACGCAAGUCUGAUGGAGCAACGCCGCGUGAGUGAAGAAGGUUUUCGGAUCGUAAAGCUCUGUUGUUGGUGAAGAAGGAUAGAGGUAGUAACUGGCCUUUAUUUGACGGUAAUCAACCAGAAAGUCACGGCUAACUACGU
RNAcentral lists this ribosomal RNA (510 nucleotides) under uncultured bacterium. RNAcentral describes it as "partial 16S ribosomal RNA". It matches the Rfam family "Bacterial small subunit ribosomal RNA", at positions 29 to 506 of the family's 1533-position model. The record is from RNAcentral.